This 508-nucleotide ribosomal RNA is filed under the name uncultured bacterium. Its description in RNAcentral is "partial 16S ribosomal RNA". It matches the Rfam family "Bacterial small subunit ribosomal RNA", at positions 29 to 523 of the family's 1533-position model. The record is from RNAcentral.
AUUGAACGCUGGCGGCAGGCCUAACACAUGCAAGUCGAGCGGCAGCGGGAAAGUAGCUUGCUACUUUUGCCGGCGAGCGGCGGACGGGUGAGUAAUGCCUGGGAAAUUGCCCAGUCGAGGGGGAUAACAGUUGGAAACGACUGCUAAUACCGCAUACGCCCUACGGGGGAAAGCAGGGGACCUUCGGGCCUUGCGCGAUUGGAUAUGCCCAGGUGGGAUUAGCUAGUUGGUGAGGUAAUGGCUCACCAAGGCGACGAUCCCUAGCCGGCCUGAAGGGAUGAUCAGCCACACUGGAACUGAGGCACGGGCCAGACUCCGACGGGAGGCAGCAGUGGGGAAUACUGCACAAUGGGGGAAACCCUGAUGCAGCCCUGCCGCGUGUGUGAAGAAGGCCUUCGGGUUGUAAAGCACUUUCAGCGAGGAGGAAAGGUUGUUGCCUAAUACGUAUCAACUGUGACGUUACUCGCAGAAGAAGCACCGGCUAACUCCGUGCCAGCCGCCGCCGUAA